AGAGUUUGAUCCUGGCUCAGGAUGAACGCUGGUGGCGUGCCUUAGGCAUGCAAGUCGAACGCCCUAACUUCGGUUAGGGAGUGGCAGACGGGUGAGUAACACGUAGGAAUCUACCCUUUGGUGGGGAAUAACUUUGGGAAACCAAAGCUAAUACCGCAUAAGCCGUUUACGGGAAAGGGCAUCACUGCCCACCGAUGGAGGAGCCUGCGUCCUAUCAGCUUGUUGGUGGGGUAAUGGCCUACCAAGGCGAUGACGGGUAGCUGGUCUGAGAGGAUGGUCAGCCACAGGGGUACUGAGACACGGACCCCACAUCUACGGAUGGCAGCAACCGGGAAUCUUGCGCAAUGGGCGAAAGCCUGACGCAGCGACGCCGCGUGCGGGAUGAAGGCCUUCGGGUUGUCAACCGCUUUUGUUUACCGGUCGACGGUAGACGAAUAACCACCUGCAAACUACGUGCCAGAAGCCUCGGUGAUACGUAGGGUGGAAGCGUUAUCCGGAUUUAUUGGGCGUAAAGAGUUUCGUAGGCGGUUGGUUAAGUCCAAGUUCAAAGACUGGGGCUCAACCCCGGAAAGGGUUUGGAUACUAAUCAACUAGAGGUCUUUAGAGGAUGUUGGAAUUCCUGGUGUAGGAGUGAAAUCCAUUGAUAUCAGGAGGAACGUCGAGGGCGAAGGCAAGCAUCUGGGAAUGACCUGACGCUGAGGUACGAAAGCUAGGGGAGCAAAUGGGAUUAGAGACCCCAGUAGUCCUAGCCGUAAACAAUCCCCGCUAGCUACUCCAGGUUUACUUGGGAGUGGCGUAAG
This 800-nucleotide ribosomal RNA is filed under the name uncultured bacterium. RNAcentral's name for it is "bacterial SSU rRNA". It matches the Rfam family "Bacterial small subunit ribosomal RNA", at positions 8 to 852 of the family's 1533-position model. The record is from RNAcentral.